Molecule: ribosomal RNA, 271 nt
Filed under: uncultured bacterium
Lineage: Bacteria
Description: partial 16S ribosomal RNA
Rfam family: Bacterial small subunit ribosomal RNA
Source: RNAcentral
GUCCUGGCCCUAAACGGUGUUCACUUGGUGUGCGGGGAGUCGACCCCCUGCGUGCCGUAGCUAACGCGAUAAGUGAACCGCCUGGGAAGUACGACCGCAAGGUUAAAACUCAAAGAAAUUGACGGGGGCCCGCACAAGCGGUGGAGCAUGUGGCUUAAUUAGAUGCAACGCGAAGAACCUUACCUGGCCUUGACAUGCUGGUAGUAGAAGCCGGAAACGGUGACGACUCCUCGUAAGAGGAGAGCCAGCACAGGUGCUGCAUGGUUGUCGU